Drosophila navojoa is the source of this 299-nucleotide long non-coding RNA. The record is from RefSeq and is a predicted model, not a curated record. Lineage: Eukaryota; Metazoa; Arthropoda; Insecta; Diptera; Drosophilidae.
UCUGAUAAUAGCUUCCAAAUGUCAUUUCGCAUUCAAGCUUCAAAAUUUCUUAGUUCUGAUAUUCCAUUUCCCACUUGGGGUUUUGAAAUCCUACUUUGAAUUAUAGUUUCGAAAUUCCAUUUCUUAUUCCAUUUCGUAUUAAAGCUUCUUCUUUUCGCUUUAUUCCAAAUGAAAUCGACAUUGCAUAUUAAAACACAAUAUCACCAAAAAUAGUUUAUUUACUUCACUUGCUCGUAUAUGUGAGUCUGUUUAACUGUCUAUAUGUAUGUGUGUGUGUGUGUGUGUUUUUUUUAAAUUAU